This 395-nucleotide unclassified non-coding RNA is filed under the name soil metagenome. Its description in RNAcentral is "partial contains 5.8S ribosomal RNA, internal transcribed spacer 2, and large subunit ribosomal RNA". The stretch from base 1 to 120 matches the Rfam family "5.8S ribosomal RNA", at positions 35 to 154 of the family's 154-position model. The record is from RNAcentral.
GAUGAAGAACUCAGCGAAAUGCGAUAAGUAAUGUGAAUUGCAGAAUUCAGUGAAUCAUCGAAUCUUUGAACGCACCUUGCGCCUUUUGGUAUUCCGAAAGGCACACCUGUUUGAGCGUCAUGAAUACCUCAAUCUCCAUCUUUUCUUCGGAUUGAUGGGUGACUUGGAUGUUGAGCCCUGCUGGUAUGCUAUAUCAGCUGGCUUUAAACUUAUUAGCCGGCUCUGUACUGGAUCGGUUUGACUCGACGUGAUAAUAUUAUCGUUGAGGAUGCAUGUCUCAUGCAGCCGGAAAGUAUCAAAGCAGCUUCUAGCUUGCCGUUAGUGCACUUUUACAUUUUAGACCUCAGAUCAGGUGGGACUACCCGCUGAACUUAAGCAUAUCAAUAAGCGGAGGA